This 253-nucleotide ribosomal RNA is filed under the name uncultured bacterium. RNAcentral describes it as "partial 16S ribosomal RNA". It matches the Rfam family "Bacterial small subunit ribosomal RNA", at positions 524 to 776 of the family's 1533-position model. The record is from RNAcentral.
UACGUAGGGUGCAAGCGUUAAUCGGAAUUACUGGGCGUAAAGCGUGCGCAGGCGGUUGUGUAAGACAGAUGUGAAAUCCCCGGGCUCAACCUGGGAACUGCAUUUGUGACUGCACGGCUGGAGUGCGGCAGAGGGGGAUGGAAUUCCGCGUGUAGCAGUGAAAUGCGUAGAGAUGCGGAGGAACACCGAUGGCGAAGGCAGCCCCCUGGGCUGACACUGACGCUCAGGCACGAAAGCGUGGGGAGCAAACAGG